RNAcentral lists this ribosomal RNA (411 nucleotides) under uncultured bacterium. Its description in RNAcentral is "bacterial SSU rRNA". It matches the Rfam family "Bacterial small subunit ribosomal RNA", at positions 370 to 772 of the family's 1533-position model. The record is from RNAcentral.
AAUGGGCGAAAGCCUGACCCAGCGACGCCGCGUGGGUGAUGAAGGCCUUCGGGUUGUAAAGCCCUGUCAUGCGGAAAGAACAGUCUUACGGUUAAUACCCGUGAGAUUUGACGGUACCGCAGGAGGAAGCACCGGCUAACUCCGUGCCAGCAGCCGCGGUAAUACGGAGGGUGCAAGCGUUGUUCGGAAUUAUUGGGCGUAAAGGACGCGUAGGCGGUAAUGAAAGUCAGAUGUGAAAUACUUCGGCUCAACUGAAGAACUGCAUCUGAAACUUCAUAACUAGAGUACAGAAGAGGGAAAUGGAAUUCCCGGUGUAGAGGUGAAAUUCGUAGAUAUCGGGAGGAACACCAGUGGCGAAGGCGAUUUCCUGGUCUGAUACUGACGCUGAGGCGUGAAAGUGUGGGGAGCAAA